UUUCCGGUUGAUCCUGCCGCCGGACACCGCUAUUGGAAUCCGCUUAAGCCAUGCGAGUCGAGAGGGUUUAGACCCUCGGCGCACUGCUCAGUAACACGCGGACAACCUGUCCUCAAGAAGGGGAUAAUCCCGGGAAACUGGGAAUAAUACCCUAUAGCCGCUCUGUGAUGGAAGGCUAGGGCGGCGAAAGCUUCGGCGCUUGAGGGUGGGUCUGCGGCCUAUCAGGUAGUAGGGGGUGUUACGGACCCCCUAGCCUACGACGGGUACGGGCAUUGGGAGAUGCCGCCCGGAGAUGGGUUCUGAGACACGAACCCAGGUCCUACGGGGCGCAGCAGGCGCGAACACUGUGCAAUGCGCGAAAGCGCGACACGGGGAGCUUGAGUGUCUUGGCAUAGCCAAGACUUUUCUCAUUCCUAAAAAGCAUGAGGAAUAAGUGCUGGGUAAGACGGGUGCCAGCCGCCGCGGUAACACCCGCAGCACAAGUGGUGGUCACUUUUAUUGAGCCUAAAGCGUUCGUAGCCGGUUUUGUGAAUCUUUAGAUAAAGCCUGAAGCUUAACUCCAGAAAGUCUGAAGAGACUGCAAGACUUGAGAUCGGGUGAGGUUAAACGUACUUUCAGGGUAGGGGUAAAAUCCUGUAAUCCUGGGGGGACCACCAGUGGCGAAGGCGUUCACCUAGAACGAAUCCGACAGUGAGGGACGAAGCCCUAGGGCGCAAACGGGAUUAGAUACCCCGGUAGUCUAGGGUGUAAACGCUGCAGACUUGGUGUUGGGGGUCCUGCGUGGGCUCCCAGUGCCGGAGCGAAGGUGUUAAGUGUGCCGCUUGGGGAGUAUGGUCGCAAGGCUGAAACUUAAAGGAAUUGGCGGGAGAGCACCGCAACGGGAGGAAUGUGCGGUUUAAUUGGAGUCAACGCCGGG
This 916-nucleotide ribosomal RNA is filed under the name uncultured archaeon. RNAcentral describes it as "bacterial SSU rRNA". It matches the Rfam family "Archaeal small subunit ribosomal RNA", at positions 1 to 922 of the family's 1478-position model. The record is from RNAcentral.